RNAcentral lists this ribosomal RNA (253 nucleotides) under uncultured bacterium. RNAcentral's name for it is "partial 16S ribosomal RNA". It matches the Rfam family "Bacterial small subunit ribosomal RNA", at positions 524 to 776 of the family's 1533-position model. The record is from RNAcentral.
UACGUAGGUGGCGAGCGUUGUCCGGAAUCAUUGGGCGUAAAGGGUGCGUAGGCGGUCCGUUAAGUCUAGUUUGAAGGACCACGGCUUAACCGUGGGAGGGGAUUAGAAACUGCCAUUCUUGAGUGUCGGAGAGGGUGGCGGAAUUCCCGGUGUAGCAGUGAAAUGCGUAGAGAUCGGGAGGAACACCCGUGGCGAAGGCGGCCACCUGGGCCAACACUGACACUGAGGCACGAAAGCGUGGGGAGCAAACAGG